RNAcentral lists this ribosomal RNA (325 nucleotides) under uncultured prokaryote. RNAcentral describes it as "bacterial SSU rRNA". It matches the Rfam family "Bacterial small subunit ribosomal RNA", at positions 26 to 352 of the family's 1533-position model. The record is from RNAcentral.
AGAUUGAACGCUGGCGGCAUGCCUAACACAUGCAAGUCGAGCGGCAGCGCGGGGGCAACCCUGGUGGCGAGUGGCGAACGGGUGAGUAAUGCAUCGGAACGUAUCCUUGAGUGGGGGAUAACGCAGCGAAAGUUGUGCUAAUACCGCAUAAGCUCUGAGGAGGAAAGCGGGGGACCGAAAGGCCUCACGCUGAAGGAGCGGCCGAUGUCCGAUUAGCUAGUUGGUGAGGUAAAGGCUUAACCAAGGCGACGAUCGGUAGCUGGUCUGAGAGGAUGAUCAGCCANACUGGGACUGAGACACGGCCCAGACUCCGUACGGGAGCAGC